AUUGAACGCUGGCGGCAUGCCUUACACAUGCAAGUCGAACGGCAGCAUGGGUGCUUGCACCUGAUGGCGAGUGGCGAACGGGUGAGUAAUACAUCGGAACGUACCCGGAAGUGGGGGAUAACGUAGCGAAAGUUACGCUAAUACCGCAUAUUCUGUGAGCAGGAAAGAGGGGGAUCGCAAGACCUCUCGCUUUCGGAGCGGCCGAUGUCAGAUUAGCUAGUUGGUAGGGUAAAAGCCUACCAAGGCGACGAUCUGUAGCGGGUCUGAGAGGAUGAUCCGCCACACGGGGACUGAGACACGGCCCAGACUCCUACGGGAGGCAGCAGUGGGGAAUUUUGGACAAUGGGGGCAACCCUGAUCCAGCCAUGCCGCGUGAGUGAAGAAGGCCUUCGGGUUGUAAAGCUCUUUCGGCCGGGAAGAAAUCGCACAGGCUAAUACCUUGUGUGGAUGACGGUACCGGAAUAAGAAGCACCGGCUAACUACGUGCCAGCAGCCGCGGUAA
Molecule: ribosomal RNA, 502 nt
Filed under: uncultured bacterium
Lineage: Bacteria
Description: partial 16S ribosomal RNA
Rfam family: Bacterial small subunit ribosomal RNA
Source: RNAcentral